GACGAACGCUGGCGGCGUGCUUAACACAUGCAAGUCGAGGGCACUAUUGGGGCAACCUGGUAGUGACCGGCGAACGGGUGCGUAACACGUGAGCGACCUUGCCUCGUGGUGGGGGAGUAGCCGGCCCAACGGCCGGGUAAGUACCGCAUAUGGUAGUUUCUUCGCAUGAGGAGACUAGCAAAGCCUUGGAGCAAUCCAAUGGCGCCACAGGGGGGCGGGU
Molecule: ribosomal RNA, 220 nt
Filed under: uncultured bacterium
Lineage: Bacteria
Description: partial 16S ribosomal RNA
Rfam family: Bacterial small subunit ribosomal RNA
Source: RNAcentral